GAUGAACGCUGGCGGCGUGCCUAAUACAUGCAAGUCGAACGAACGGACGAGAAGCUUGCUUCUCUGAUGUUAGCGGCGGACGGGUGAGUAACACGUGGAUAACCUACCUAUAAGACUGGGAUAACUUCGGGAAACCGGAGCUAAUACCGGAUAAUAUUUUGAACCGCAUGGUUCAAAAGUGAAAGACGGUCUUGCUGUCACUUAUAGAUGGAUCCGCGCUGCAUUAGCUAGUUGGUAAGGUAACGGCUUACCAAGGCAACGAUGCAUAGCCGACCUGAGAGGGUGAUCGGCCACACUGGAACUGAGACACGGUCCAGACUCCUACGGGAGGCAGCAGUAGGGAAUCUUCCGCAAUGGGCGAAAGCCUGACGGAGCGACGCCGCGUGAGUGAUGAAGGUCUUCGGAUCGUAAAACUCUGUUAUUAGGGAAGAACAUAUGUGUAAGUAACUGUGCACAGCUUGACGGUACCUAAUCAGAAAGCCACGGCUAACUACGUG
Molecule: ribosomal RNA, 497 nt
Filed under: uncultured bacterium
Lineage: Bacteria
Description: partial 16S ribosomal RNA
Rfam family: Bacterial small subunit ribosomal RNA
Source: RNAcentral